UCCUAAUACAGGGAGGUAGUGACAAGAAAUAACAAUACAGGGCCUAACGGUCUAGUAAUUGGAAUGAGUGAAGUAUAAACCCCUUUACGAGUAUCAAUUGGAGGGCAAGUCUGGUGCCAGCAGCCGCGGUAAUUCCAGCUCCAAUAGCGUAUAUUAAAGUUGUUGCAGUUAAAAAGCUCGUAGUUGGAUUUCUGUUGUAUAAUUUUAUAAUAUUACCAAGGUAAUUAUUAUAUUAUCAACAUCCUUCCUAUUAUAUUCUAAAUAUAUAGGAAAUUUUACUUUGAGAAAAUUAGAGUGCUUAAAGCAGGCAACUGCCUUGAAUACUCCAGCAUGGAAUAAUAAGUAAGGACUUUUGUCUUUCUUAUUGGUUCUAGGACAAAAGUAAUGGUUAAUAGGGACAGUUGGGGGCAUUCGUAUUUAACAGCCAGAGGUGAAAUUCUUAGAUUUGUUAAAGACGAACUACUGCGAAAGCAUUUGCCAAGGA
RNAcentral lists this ribosomal RNA (484 nucleotides) under Cryptosporidium andersoni. RNAcentral describes it as "SSU rRNA". It matches the Rfam family "Eukaryotic small subunit ribosomal RNA", at positions 449 to 964 of the family's 1831-position model. The record is from RNAcentral. Lineage: Eukaryota; Apicomplexa; Conoidasida; Eucoccidiorida; Cryptosporidiidae.